RNAcentral lists this ribosomal RNA (464 nucleotides) under uncultured bacterium. Its description in RNAcentral is "bacterial SSU rRNA". It matches the Rfam family "Bacterial small subunit ribosomal RNA", at positions 335 to 793 of the family's 1533-position model. The record is from RNAcentral.
ACUCCUACGGGAGGCAGCAGUGGGGAAUAUUGCACAAUGGGCGCAAGCCUGAUGCAGCCAUGCCGCGUGUAUGAAGAAGGCCUUCGGGUUGUAAAGUACUUUCAGCAGUGAGGAGGUGGGUAUGUUAAUAGCAUAUUCAUUUGACGUUAGCUGCAGAAGAAGCACCGGCUAACUCCGUGCCAGCAGCCGCGGUAAUACGGAGGGUGCGAGCGUUAAUCGGAAUUACUGGGCGUAAAGCGCAUGCAGGUGGUUUGUUAAGUCAGAUGUGAAAGCCCGGGGCUCAACCUCGGAAUUGCAUUUGAAACUGGCAAACUAGAGUACUGUAGAGGGGGUAGAAUUUCAGGUGUAGCGGUGAAAUGCGUAGAGAUCUGAAGGAAUACCGGUGGCGAAGGCGGCCCCCUGGACAGAUACUGACACUCAGAUGCGAAAGCGUGGGGAGCAAACAGGAUUAGAUACCCUGGUAG